Flavobacteriaceae bacterium CG2_30_34_30 is the source of this 327-nucleotide non-coding RNA. NCBI's taxonomy places the organism in Bacteria, Pseudomonadati, Bacteroidota, Flavobacteriia, Flavobacteriales, Flavobacteriaceae. The record is from Rfam.
CUUGCAGACUGCCUUAUCGCUAUCUCGAUGCAAAAUCGGGGGGGAGGAAAGUCCGGACACCAUAGGGCAGCAUAGCGGCUAACAGCCGUCAUCUCGAUUUUAUAUCGGGGUAGGACAAGUGCAACAGAAAGGAUGUACAGGUAAUGCUGUAGUGAAAUCAUGUAAACUCUAUGCGGUGCAAUGCCAUGUAAACCUGUGCCUGAGGGCGGCUCGCUCGAUGCAGGAGGGUAGGCAGAUAGAACCAAACAGUAAUGUUUGGUCUAGAUAAAUGAUAAGGAGUCCGCCACCGGCGGAUUACAGAAUCCGGCUUAUAGGUCUGCAUUACUA